RNAcentral lists this ribosomal RNA (427 nucleotides) under uncultured bacterium. Its description in RNAcentral is "bacterial SSU rRNA". It matches the Rfam family "Bacterial small subunit ribosomal RNA", at positions 355 to 774 of the family's 1533-position model. The record is from RNAcentral.
UGGGGAAUAUUGGACAAUGGGCGCAAGCCUGAUCCAGCCAUGCCGCGUGGGUGAAGAAGGCCUUCGGGUUGUAAAGCCCUUUUGUUGGGAAAGAAAUCCUGUCGGCUAAUACCCGGCGGGGAUGACGGUACCCAAAGAAUAAGCACCGGCUAACUUCGUGCCAGCAGCCGCGGUAAUACGAAGGGUGCAAGCGUUACUCGGAAUUACUGGGCGUAAAGCUUGCGUAGGCGGUUCGUUAAGUCUGUCGUGAAAGCCCUGGGCUCAACCUGGGAAUUGCGAUGGCUACUGGCGAGCUAGAGUACGGUAGAUGAUGGUGGAAUUCCCCGUGUAGCGGUGAAAUGCGUAGAGAUCGGGAGGAACACCCGUGGCGGAGGCGGCCAUCUGGACCAGUACUGACGCUGAGGCACGAAAGCGUGGGGAGCAAACA